ACCUUCUACUGACUAGAUGUAAAACCCAAUGGGUCACACACAUAUAAAAAUUGGCCAAGGAUCAUUUUGAAAAAGGUUGAUUAGAAUUUUGGAUUCAAUUAGGGUUUUGGUAAGCAUGCUAGCAUGUAUGGAAACCCUAACUACUUUGGAGAUUAAUUUGGUCUCAUGCCUUGCUGAUUUGCUAACCUAAUUUGGUGGAUAUUUGGAUCAGGUCAAGCCACCUAGAAGCAGCUAAAAAGAGUUACCAUAUCUGUUGAUUAACACCAAAAACCAAGAGUCCAAGAUGAGGACUCUUGGCGCAUAUAUGCUGAGCGCACAUGCUCUUUAGUUUUGGCACAUAGAAGGACUAAGAGUCCUUCUGCUUUGGGUCUCUAUUUUUUAUGACAAAUAGAUCAAAUCAUAAUCCACCUAGA
RNAcentral lists this long non-coding RNA (413 nucleotides) under Elaeis guineensis (African oil palm). Its description in RNAcentral is "long non-coding RNA (EGUI_LNC044028)". The record is from RNAcentral. Lineage: Eukaryota; Viridiplantae; Streptophyta; Magnoliopsida; Arecales; Arecaceae.